UACCUUAAAUCACGAUUGGUAAUAUCC
This 27-nucleotide non-coding RNA is filed under the name Mus musculus (house mouse). The record is from RNAcentral. Lineage: Eukaryota; Metazoa; Chordata; Mammalia; Rodentia; Muridae.